ACGCACAUUGCGCCCUCUGGUAUUCCGGGCGGCAUGCCUGUCCGAGCGUCAUUGCGAACCCUCAAGCACGGCUUGUGUGUUGGGCCGCCGUCCCCUCGUUUGGAGGGGACGGGCCUGAAAGGCAGCGGCGGCGUCGCGUCCGGUCCUCGAGCGUAUGGGGCUCUGUCACGCGCUCAAGGAGGGGUCCGGCCGGGGCCAUAGCCUCUGAAGGUCAAUUCUUCCAAGGUUGACCUCGGAUCAGGUAGGAGUACCCGCUGAACUUAA
RNAcentral lists this unclassified non-coding RNA (264 nucleotides) under uncultured fungus. RNAcentral's name for it is "partial contains 5.8S rRNA and ITS2". The record is from RNAcentral. Lineage: Eukaryota; Fungi.